RNAcentral lists this ribosomal RNA (451 nucleotides) under uncultured bacterium. Its description in RNAcentral is "bacterial SSU rRNA". It matches the Rfam family "Bacterial small subunit ribosomal RNA", at positions 354 to 796 of the family's 1533-position model. The record is from RNAcentral.
GUGGGGGAUAUUGCGCAAUGGGCGAAAGCCUGACGCAGCGACGCCGCGUGGGUGAUGAAGGCCUUCGGGUCGUAAAGCCCUGUCGAGGGGGACGAAACGGUGCCGACCUAACACGUCGGUGCCCUGACGGUACCCCUAAAGGAAGCACCGGCUAACUCCGUGCCAGCAGCCGCGGUAAUACGGAGGGUGCAAGCGUUGUUCGGAAUCACUGGGCGUAAAGCGCGUGUAGGCGGUCCGCUAAGUCUGAUGUGAAAGCCCGGGGCUCACCCCCGGAAGGGCAUUGGAUACUGGUGGACUCGAGUCCCGGAGAGGAGGGUGGAAUUCCUGGUGUAGCGGUGAAAUGCGUAGAUAUCAGGAGGAACACCGGUGGCGAAGGCGGCCCUCUGGACGGUGACUGACGCUGAGACGCGAAAGCGUGGGGAGCAAACAGGAUUAGAAACCCGGGUAGUCC